UACACUCCUGCGGGAGGCAGCAGUGGGGAAUAUUGCACAAUGGGCGCAAGCCUGAUGCAGCCAUGCCGCGUGUAUGAAGAAGGCCUUCGGGUUGUAAAGUACUUUCAGCGGGGAGGAAGGCGAUAAGGUUAAUAACCUUGUUGAUUGACGUUACCCGCAGAAGAAGCACCGGCUAACUCCGUGCCAGCAGCCGCGGUAAUACGGAGGGUGCAAGCGUUAAUCGGAAUUACUGGGCGUAAAGCGCACGCAGGCGGUCUGUCAAGUCGGAUGUGAAAUCCCCGGGCUCAACCUGGGAACUGCAUUCGAAACUGGCAGGCUAGAGUCUUGUAGAGGGGGGUAGAAUUCCAGGUGUAGCGGUGAAAUGCGUAGAGAUCUGGAGGAAUACCGGUGGCGAAGGCGGCCCCCUGGACAAAGACUGACGCUCAGGUGCGAAAGCGUGGGGAGCAAACAGGAUUAGAAACCCUAGUAGUCCCAUGA
This 477-nucleotide ribosomal RNA is filed under the name uncultured organism. RNAcentral describes it as "partial 16S ribosomal RNA". It matches the Rfam family "Bacterial small subunit ribosomal RNA", at positions 332 to 800 of the family's 1533-position model. The record is from RNAcentral.